RNAcentral lists this small RNA (566 nucleotides) under Pan troglodytes (chimpanzee). RNAcentral's name for it is "processed transcript". Lineage: Eukaryota; Metazoa; Chordata; Mammalia; Primates; Hominidae. The record is from RNAcentral.
AUCUCAUCACCACCUGUCCUGAGCUCCAGGCAGCAGCUGAGAAUUGUAAAACCACGGUGACCCAGUCAGUGGCAGAUUCACUUAAGGCUGUCCUCUUAAAGUCACCACCCUCUUGCAUUGGCCAGUGGAGGAAGAUCUUUGAUGAUGAACCAACUAUCAUUAGAAGAGCUUUUUACUCUUUGGGCAAUUAUAUUGUGGCCUCCGAAAUAGCUAAAGAAUCUGCCAAAUCUCCUGUGAUUGUAGACAGGUACUGGCACAGCACGGCCACCUAUGCCAUAGCCACUGAGGUGAGUGGGGGUCUCCAGCACCUGCCCCCAGCCCAUCACCCUGUAUACCAGUGGCCAGAGGACCUGCUCAAACCUGACCUCAUCCUGCUGCUCACCGUGAGUCCUGAGGAGAGGUUGCAGAGGCUGCAGGGCCGGGGCAUGGAGAAGACCAGGGAAGAAGCAGAACUUGAGGCCAACAGUGUGUUUCGUCAAAAGGUAGAAAUGUCCUACCAGCGGAUGGAGAAUCCUGGCUGCCAUGUGGUUGAUGCCAGUCCCUCCAGAGAAAAGGUCCUGCAGACG